GACGAACGCUGGCGGCGUGCUUAACACAUGCAAGUCGAACGGAAAGGCCCUGCUUUUGUGGGGUGCUCGAGUGGCGAACGGGUGAGUAACACGUGAGUAACCUGCCCUUGACUUUGGGAUAACUUCAGGAAACUGGGGCUAAUACCGGAUAGGAGCUCCUGCUGCAUGGUGGGGGUUGGAAAGUUUCGGCGGUUGGGGAUGGACUCGCGGCUUAUCAGCUUGUUGGUGGGGUAGUGGCUUACCAAGGCUUUGACGGGUAGCCGGCCUGAGAGGGUGACCGGCCACAUUGGGACUGAGAUACGGCCCAGACUCCUACGGGAGGCAGCAGUGGGGAAUAUUGCACAAUGGGCGGAAGCCUGAUGCAGCAACGCCGCGUGCGGGAUGACGGCCUUCGGGUUGUAAACCGCUUUCGCCUGUGACGAAGCGUGAGUGACGGUAAUGGGUAAAGAAGCACCGGCUAACUACGUGCCAGCAGCCGCGGUGAUACGUAGGGUGCGAGCGUUGUCCGGAUUUAUUGGGCGUAAAGGGCUCGUAGGUGGUUGAUCGCGUCGGAAGUGUAAUCUUGGGGCUUAACCCUGAGCGUGCUUUCGAUACGGGUUGACUUGAGGAAGGUAGGGGAGAAUGGAAUUCCUGGUGGGGCGGUGGAAUGCGCAGAUAUCAGGAGGAACACCAGUGGCGAAGGCGGUUCUCUGGGCCUUUCCUGACGCUGAGGAGCGAAAGCGUGGGGAGCGAACAGGCUUAGAUACCCUGGUAGUCCACGCUGUAAACGGUGGGUACUAGGUGUGGGGUCCAUUCCACGGGUUCCGUGCCGUAGCUAACGCUUUAAGUACCCCGCCUGGGGAGUACGGCCGCAAGGCUAGAACCCAAAGGAAUUGACGGGGCCCCGCACAAGCGGCGGAGCAUGCGGAUUAAUUCGAUGCAACGCGUAGAACCUUACCUGGGUUUGACAUGGAUCGGGAGUGCUCAGAGAUGGGUGUGCCUCUUUUGGGGUCGGUUCACAGGUGGUGCAUGGCUGUCGUCAGCUCGUGUCGUGAGAUGUUGGGUUAAGUCCUGCAACGAGCGCAACCCUUGUUCACUGUUGCCAGCACGUUAUGGUGGGGACUCAGUGGAGACCGCCGGGGUCAACUCGGAGGAAGGUGGGGAUGACGUCAAGUCAUCAUGCCCCUUAUGUCCAGGGCUUCACGCAUGCUACAAUGGCUGGUACAGAGAGUGGCGAGCCUGUGAGGGUGAGCGAAUCUCGGAAAGCCGGUCUCAGUUCGGAUUGGGGUCUGCAACUCGACCUCAUGAAGUCGGAGUCGCUAGUAAUCGCAGAUCAGCAACGCUGCGGUGAAUACGUUCCCGGGGCU
Molecule: ribosomal RNA, 1346 nt
Filed under: uncultured bacterium
Lineage: Bacteria
Description: partial 16S ribosomal RNA
Rfam family: Bacterial small subunit ribosomal RNA
Source: RNAcentral